AUCUUUCUGCGUGGUUUGUUACCAAACACACUAAUAAUUGAGCCAACACUUGAAUUAUCGGGAGGCUAAUGCCGGCGUUCGGUGCAGUCUUUCAAAGUUAAAGAUUUGCCAUAGAAUUCGGCUUUGAUGUGUCGCAAGACACAGAAAGCCACCCACCUAUUAAUAAUAGGUUCAAUUCAACUGUUUGAAACGGCUAAGCGGUUUCCUU
RNAcentral lists this non-coding RNA (208 nucleotides) under Acidobacteriota bacterium. Its description in RNAcentral is "6S RNA". It matches the Rfam family "6S / SsrS RNA". Rfam says of the family: E. coli 6S RNA was the first non coding RNA to be sequenced, but its function was unknown until recently. It consists of 184 nucleotides that fold into an extended hairpin structure with a large single-stranded internal bulge. The 6S RNA specifically associates with RNA polymerase holoenzyme containing the sigma70 specificity factor. Lineage: Bacteria; Pseudomonadati; Acidobacteriota. The record is from RNAcentral.